Molecule: ribosomal RNA, 253 nt
Filed under: uncultured bacterium
Lineage: Bacteria
Description: partial 16S ribosomal RNA
Rfam family: Bacterial small subunit ribosomal RNA
Source: RNAcentral
UACGUAGGGGGCAAGCGUUGUCCGGAUUUAUUGGGCGUAAAGAGCGUGUAGGCGGCCAUGUAGGUCCGUUGUGAAAACUCGAGGCUCAACCUCGAGACGCCGAUGGAAACCAUGUGGCUAGAGUCCGGAAGAGGAGAGUGGAAUUCCUGGUGUAGCGGUGAAAUGCGCAGAUAUCAGGAAGAAUAUCCGUGGCGAAGGCGGCUCUCUGGGACGGUACUGACGCUGAGACGCGAAAGCGUGGGGAGCGAACAGG